UACGUAGGUGACAAGCGUUAUCCGGAAUUAUUGGGCGUAAAGCGCCCGCAGGUGGCUGUUCAAGUCUGACGUGAAAUCGCUCGGCUUAACUGGGCGGGGUCGUUGGAAACUGAAUAGCUUGAGGCAAGGAGAGGGGCGUGGAAUUCCCGGUGUAGCGGUGAAAUGCGUAGAUAUCCGGGAGGAACACCGUGGCGGAGGAACGGCUGCCUGGACCGACACUG
RNAcentral lists this ribosomal RNA (221 nucleotides) under uncultured bacterium. RNAcentral's name for it is "partial 16S ribosomal RNA". It matches the Rfam family "Bacterial small subunit ribosomal RNA", at positions 524 to 748 of the family's 1533-position model. The record is from RNAcentral.